RNAcentral lists this ribosomal RNA (486 nucleotides) under uncultured bacterium. RNAcentral's name for it is "bacterial SSU rRNA". It matches the Rfam family "Bacterial small subunit ribosomal RNA", at positions 34 to 518 of the family's 1533-position model. The record is from RNAcentral.
CGCUGGCGGCGUGCCUAACACAUGCAAGUCGAGCGGAGAUGAUGUGAGGAAGUUUUCGGAUGGAAUCACAUAUUUUAGCGGCGGACGGGUGAGUAACGCGUGAGCGACCAACCUUGCACAGGGGGAUAACGGACCGAAAGGUUCACUAAUACCGCAUGAGACCACGGUGUUGCAUGACACAGAGGUCAAAGGAGAGAUCCGGUGCAAGACGGGCUCGCGUCCGAUUAGGUAGUUGAGGGGUAACGGCCCACCAAGCCUAUGAUCGGUAGCCGACCUGAGAGGGUGAUCGGCCACAUUGGAACUGAGAUACGGUCCAAACUCCUACGGGAGGCAGCAGUGGGGAAUAUUGGGCCAAUGGGGGAAACCCUGACCCAGCAACGCCGCGUGAAGGAAGAAGGUUUUCGGAUUGUAAACUUCUGUCCUUGGUGAAGAGAAGAAGACGGUAGCCAAGGAGGAAGCCCCGGCUAACUACGUGCCAGCCGCGGC